CUGAUCAGCCAUGCCGCGUGAGUGAAGAAGGCCCUAGGGUCGUAAAACUCUUUCGCCAGAGAUGAUAAUGACAGUAUCUGGUAAAGAAACCCCGGCUAACUCCGUGCCAGCAGCCGCGGUAAUACGGAGGGGGUUAGCGUUGUUCGGAAUUACUGGGCGUAAAGCGCACGUAGGCGGAUAAUUAAGUCAGAGGUGAAAUCCCGGGGCUCAACCCCGGAACUGCCUUUGAUACUGGUUAUCUAGAGUUCGAGAGAGGUGAGUGGAAUUCCAAGUGUAGAGGUGAAAUUCGUAGAUAUUUGGAGGAACACCAGUGGCGAAGGCGGCUCACUGGCUCGAUACUGACGCUGAGGUGCGAAAGUGUGGGGAGCAAACAGGAUUAGAUACCCUGGUAGUCCACACCGUAAACGAUGAAUGCCAGUCGUCGGGUAGUAUACUAUUCGGUGACACACCUAACGGAUUAAGCAUUCCGCCUGGGGAGUACGGUCGCAAGAUUAAAACUCAAAGAAAUUGACGGAAGUAACCCU
This 524-nucleotide ribosomal RNA is filed under the name uncultured bacterium. RNAcentral's name for it is "bacterial SSU rRNA". It matches the Rfam family "Bacterial small subunit ribosomal RNA", at positions 383 to 926 of the family's 1533-position model. The record is from RNAcentral.